Molecule: long non-coding RNA, 199 nt
Filed under: Elaeis guineensis (African oil palm)
Lineage: Eukaryota; Viridiplantae; Streptophyta; Magnoliopsida; Arecales; Arecaceae
Description: long non-coding RNA (EGUI_LNC078963)
Source: RNAcentral
ACAGCGACAUCCGUAACUACCUGGUAGUGGGCCGUUUGGGGCCACGUGGAGUUUGUUACGGAGAGUGGAGUGAUGUCCGUUGUCGUGACUUGCUAGAGAGUGGUGGGGCCAUGUGGAGUUUGUUACAGAGAGUGGAGUGGUGUCCAUUGUCGUGAUUUGUCGGAGAGUUCGGGCCGGACGGCUGAAGCUCAGAUGGGAC